RNAcentral lists this ribosomal RNA (2901 nucleotides) under Escherichia coli. Its description in RNAcentral is "23S ribosomal RNA". It matches the Rfam family "Bacterial large subunit ribosomal RNA". The record is from RNAcentral. Lineage: Bacteria; Pseudomonadati; Pseudomonadota; Gammaproteobacteria; Enterobacterales; Enterobacteriaceae.
GGUUAGGCGACUAAGCGUACACGGUGGAUGCCCUGGCAGUCAGAGGCGAUGAAGGACGUGCUAAUCUGCGAUAAGCGUCGGUAAGGUGAUAUGAACCGUUAUAACCGGCGAUUUCCGAAUGGGGAAACCCAGUGUGAUUCGUCACACUAUCAUUAACUGAAUCCAUAGGUUAAUGAGGCGAACCGGGGGAACUGAAACAUCUAAGUACCCCGAGGAAAAGAAAUCAACCGAGAUUCCCCCAGUAGCGGCGAGCGAACGGGGAGGAGCCCAGAGCCUGAAUCAGUGUGUGUGUUAGUGGAAGCGUCUGGAAAGGCGCGCGAUACAGGGUGACAGCCCCGUACACAAAAAUGCACAUGCUGUGAGCUCGAUGAGUAGGGCGGGACACGUGGUAUCCUGUCUGAAUAUGGGGGGACCAUCCUCCAAGGCUAAAUACUCCUGACUGACCGAUAGUGAACCAGUACCGUGAGGGAAAGGCGAAAAGAACCCCGGCGAGGGGAGUGAAAAAGAACCUGAAACCGUGUACGUACAAGCAGUGGGAGCCUCUUUAUGGGGUGACUGCGUACCUUUUGUAUAAUGGGUCAGCGACUUAUAUUCUGUAGCAAGGUUAACCGAAUAGGGGAGCCGAAGGGAAACCGAGUCUUAACUGGGCGUUAAGUUGCAGGGUAUAGACCCGAAACCCGGUGAUCUAGCCAUGGGCAGGUUGAAGGUUGGGUAACACUAACUGGAGGACCGAACCGACUAAUGUUGAAAAAUUAGCGGAUGACUUGUGGCUGGGGGUGAAAGGCCAAUCAAACUGGGAGAUAGCUGGUUCUCCCCGAAAGCUAUUUAGGUAGCGCCUCGUGAAUUCAUCUCCGGGGGUAGAGCACUGUUUCGGCAAGGGGGUCAUCCCGACUUACCAACCCGAUGCAAACUGCGAAUACCGGAGAAUGUUAUCACGGGAGACACACGGCGGGUGCUAACGUCCGUCGUGAAGAGGGAAACAACCCAGACCGCCAGCUAAGGUCCCAAAGUCAUGGUUAAGUGGGAAACGAUGUGGGAAGGCCCAGACAGCCAGGAUGUUGGCUUAGAAGCAGCCAUCAUUUAAAGAAAGCGUAAUAGCUCACUGGUCGAGUCGGCCUGCGCGGAAGAUGUAACGGGGCUAAACCAUGCACCGAAGCUGCGGCAGCGACACUAUGUGUUGUUGGGUAGGGGAGCGUUCUGUAAGCCUGUGAAGGUGUGCUGUGAGGCAUGCUGGAGGUAUCAGAAGUGCGAAUGCUGACAUAAGUAACGAUAAAGCGGGUGAAAAGCCCGCUCGCCGGAAGACCAAGGGUUCCUGUCCAACGUUAAUCGGGGCAGGGUGAGUCGACCCCUAAGGCGAGGCCGAAAGGCGUAGUCGAUGGGAAACAGGUUAAUAUUCCUGUACUUGGUGUUACUGCGAAGGGGGGACGGAGAAGGCUAUGUUGGCCGGGCGACGGUUGUCCCGGUUUAAGCGUGUAGGCUGGUUUUCCAGGCAAAUCCGGAAAAUCAAGGCUGAGGCGUGAUGACGAGGCACUACGGUGCUGAAGCAACAAAUGCCCUGCUUCCAGGAAAAGCCUCUAAGCAUCAGGUAACAUCAAAUCGUACCCCAAACCGACACAGGUGGUCAGGUAGAGAAUACCAAGGCGCUUGAGAGAACUCGGGUGAAGGAACUAGGCAAAAUGGUGCCGUAACUUCGGGAGAAGGCACGCUGAUAUGUAGGUGAAGUCCCUCGCGGAUGGAGCUGAAAUCAGUCGAAGAUACCAGCUGGCUGCAACUGUUUAUUAAAAACACAGCACUGUGCAAACACGAAAGUGGACGUAUACGGUGUGACGCCUGCCCGGUGCCGGAAGGUUAAUUGAUGGGGUCAGCGCAAGCGAAGCUCUUGAUCGAAGCCCCGGUAAACGGCGGCCGUAACUAUAACGGUCCUAAGGUAGCGAAAUUCCUUGUCGGGUAAGUUCCGACCUGCACGAAUGGCGUAAUGAUGGCCAGGCUGUCUCCACCCGAGACUCAGUGAAAUUGAACUCGCUGUGAAGAUGCAGUGUACCCGCGGCAAGACGGAAAGACCCCGUGAACCUUUACUAUAGCUUGACACUGAACAUUGAGCCUUGAUGUGUAGGAUAGGUGGGAGGCUUUGAAGUGUGGACGCCAGUCUGCAUGGAGCCGACCUUGAAAUACCACCCUUUAAUGUUUGAUGUUCUAACGUUGACCCGUAAUCCGGGUUGCGGACAGUGUCUGGUGGGUAGUUUGACUGGGGCGGUCUCCUCCUAAAGAGUAACGGAGGAGCACGAAGGUUGGCUAAUCCUGGUCGGACAUCAGGAGGUUAGUGCAAUGGCAUAAGCCAGCUUGACUGCGAGCGUGACGGCGCGAGCAGGUGCGAAAGCAGGUCAUAGUGAUCCGGUGGUUCUGAAUGGAAGGGCCAUCGCUCAACGGAUAAAAGGUACUCCGGGGAUAACAGGCUGAUACCGCCCAAGAGUUCAUAUCGACGGCGGUGUUUGGCACCUCGAUGUCGGCUCAUCACAUCCUGGGGCUGAAGUAGGUCCCAAGGGUAUGGCUGUUCGCCAUUUAAAGUGGUACGCGAGCUGGGUUUAGAACGUCGUGAGACAGUUCGGUCCCUAUCUGCCGUGGGCGCUGGAGAACUGAGGGGGCUGCUCCUAGUACGAGAGGACCGGAGUGGACGCAUCACUGGUGUUCGGGUUGUCAUGCCAAUGGCACUGCCCGGUAGCUAAAUGCGGAAGAGAUAAGUGCUGAAAGCAUCUAAGCACGAAACUUGCCCCGAGAUGAGUUCUCCCUGACUCCUUGAGAGUCCUGAAGGAACGUUGAAGACGACGACGUUGAUAGGCCGGGUGUGUAAGCGCAGCGAUGCGUUGAGCUAACCGGUACUAAUGAACCGUGAGGCUUAACCUU